UACGUAGGUCCCGAGCGUUGUCCGGAUUUAUUGGGCGUAAAGCGAGCGCAGGUGGUUUAUUAAGUCUGGUGUAAAAGGCAGUGGCUCAACCAUUGUAUGCAUUGGAAACUGGCAGACUUGAGUGCAGGAGAGGAGAGUGGAAUUCCAUGUGUAGCGGUGAAAUGCGUAGAUAUAUGGAGGAACACCGGUGGCGAAAGCGGCUCUCUGGCCUGUAACUGACACUGAGGCUCGAAAGCGUGGGGAGCAAACAGG
Molecule: ribosomal RNA, 252 nt
Filed under: uncultured bacterium
Lineage: Bacteria
Description: partial 16S ribosomal RNA
Rfam family: Bacterial small subunit ribosomal RNA
Source: RNAcentral